UACAGGGGGGGCAAGCGUUGUUCGGAAUUACUGGGCGUAAAGGGCUCGUAGGCGGCCAACUAAGUCAGACGUGAAAUCCCCAGGCUUAACCUGGGAACUGCGUCUGAUACUGGAUGGCUUGAAUUCGGGAGAGGGAUGCAGAAUUCCAGGUGUAGCGGUGAAAUGCGUAGAUAUCUGGAGGAAUACCGGUGGCGAAGGCGGCAUCCUGGACCGACAUUGACGCUGAGGAGCGAAAGCUAGGGGAGCAAACGGG
This 253-nucleotide ribosomal RNA is filed under the name uncultured bacterium. Its description in RNAcentral is "partial 16S ribosomal RNA". It matches the Rfam family "Bacterial small subunit ribosomal RNA", at positions 524 to 776 of the family's 1533-position model. The record is from RNAcentral.